AUAUGCAAUCACACCAGUGCUAAUGCUACAAUCCCAUGAGAACUUCGAAGUUUAGCAUUCUUGGUAAGAGUAGUAAUAGGAUGGGUGAACCCCUAGAAGUCCUUGUGUUGCAUCCC
RNAcentral lists this ribosomal RNA (116 nucleotides) under Capsicum annuum. Lineage: Eukaryota; Viridiplantae; Streptophyta; Magnoliopsida; Solanales; Solanaceae. The record is from RNAcentral.